ACCGUGGAGUCAUCGAAUCUUUGAACGCACAUUGCGCCCGCUGGUAUUCCGGCGGGCAUGCCUGUUCGAGCGUCAUUUCAACCCUCAAGCCCCCGGGUUUGGUGUUGGGGAUCGGCUCUGCCUUCUGGCGGUGCCGCCCCCGAAAUACAUUGGCGGUCUCGCUGCAGCCUCCAUUGCGUAGUAGCUAACACCUCGCAACUGGAACGCGGCGCGGCCAUGCCGUAAAACCCCAACUUCUGAAUGUUGACCUCGGAUCAGGUAGGAAUACCCGCUGAACUUAAGCAUAUCAAUAAGCGGAGG
RNAcentral lists this unclassified non-coding RNA (300 nucleotides) under uncultured Gibberella. RNAcentral's name for it is "sequence contains 5.8S rRNA gene, ITS2". The stretch from base 1 to 75 matches the Rfam family "5.8S ribosomal RNA", at positions 79 to 154 of the family's 154-position model. Lineage: Eukaryota; Fungi; Ascomycota; Sordariomycetes; Hypocreales; Nectriaceae. The record is from RNAcentral.